Molecule: ribosomal RNA, 723 nt
Filed under: Triticum aestivum (bread wheat)
Lineage: Eukaryota; Viridiplantae; Streptophyta; Magnoliopsida; Poales; Poaceae
Description: partial small subunit ribosomal RNA
Source: RNAcentral
AUGGCGGAGCGAGACGAGCUACUCGCUGAUGUCCGCUAUCGACUACAGCAGGCGCAGGCGGUCUACAAGUCCUACUAUGACAGACGCCAUCGCGAUGUCAGGCAUGUAGUAGGCGACUGGGUGUGGCUUCGUCUUCGCCAGCGUGCCGCAUCUUCUCUUAACUUGCCAACCAGGGGCAAGCUCAAGCCACGCUUCUACGGGCCAUACCGCAUUUCCGAGGUCGUCAACGACGUCGCCUACCGCCUUGAGCUACCGGUGCGCUCGCGCCUCCAUGAUGUUCUCCAUGUGGCCCUCCUCAAGAAGUUCUUUGGCACGCCUCCAACUGCACCGCUGGGUUUGCCUCCAAUUCACAACGGUGCUUCUGUCCCGGAACCAGAACGCGUGACUCGUUCACACCUCGCACGCGGCGUUCACCAGCUCCUUGUCCACUGGAAGGGCGAGGCUGCGUCAUCGGCAACGUGGGAGGAUCUUGAAAGUUUCGUCGAGCGCUACCCCGCUUUUCAGCUCGAGGACGAGCUGCUCGUCGAGGGGGGGGGGGAGAGAUGUCAUGUGGGGCGCUGCGUACAGGCGCGGGUCGCGCACCCAGGAGCAGCAGUCGGCGGCCACAGCUGGCGAGGCAUGAUCAGGGCAAGGAGUCCUGAUCCUACGAGUCUAGGAGUAGUUAGUUUCCUAGUUUUUUCUGAUCCUACGUUGGUUCCUAGAGUCCAGGAGUUAGUUUCCUAG